AUACGUAGGGGGCGAGCGUUGUCCGGAAUGAUUGGGCGUAAAGGGCGCGUAGGCGGCCCGGUAAGUCUGGAGUGAAAGUCCUGUUUUUAAGAUGGGAAUUGCUUUGGAUACUGUCGGGCUUGAGUGCAGGAGAGGUAAGUGGAAUUCCCAGUGUAGCGGUGAAAUGCGUAGAGAUUGGGAGGAACACCAGUGGCGAAGGCGGCUUACUGGACUGGAACUGACGCUGAGGUGCGAAAGCGUGGGGAGCAAAUAGGAUAAGAUACCCUGGUAGUCCACACUGUAAACGAUGAAUGCUAGGUGUAGGGGGUAUCGACCCCUUCUGUGCCGCAGUCAACACAAUAAGCAUUCCGCCUGGGGAGUACGGCCGCAAGGUUGAAACUCAAAUGAAUUGACGGGG
Molecule: ribosomal RNA, 397 nt
Filed under: uncultured bacterium
Lineage: Bacteria
Description: partial 16S ribosomal RNA
Rfam family: Bacterial small subunit ribosomal RNA
Source: RNAcentral